AUGCUAGCUUCAGCAGCACAUAUACUAAAAUUGGAAUGAUACAGAGAUUAGCAUGGCCUCUGCAUCUGCACAAGGAUGACAUGCAAAUUCAAGAAGUGUUACAUGUUUUU
Small nuclear RNA from Panthera uncia (snow leopard), 110 nucleotides. The record is from RefSeq and is a predicted model, not a curated record. Lineage: Eukaryota; Metazoa; Chordata; Mammalia; Carnivora; Felidae.